RNAcentral lists this ribosomal RNA (435 nucleotides) under uncultured bacterium. RNAcentral describes it as "partial 16S ribosomal RNA". It matches the Rfam family "Bacterial small subunit ribosomal RNA", at positions 29 to 507 of the family's 1533-position model. The record is from RNAcentral.
AGCGAACGCUGGCGGCAGGCUUAACACAUGCAAGUCGAGCGGGCACUUUCGGGUGUCCGCGGCGGACGGGUGAGUAACGCGUGGGAACGUGCCCUCUGGUUCGGAAUAACUCAGGGAAACUUGAGCUAAUACCGGAUACGCCCUUUUGGGGAAAGGCUUGCUGCCGGAGGAUCGGCCCGCGUCUGAUUAGCUAGUUGGUGAGGUAACGGCUCACCAAGGCGACGAUCAGUAGCUGGUCUGAGAGGAUGAUCAGCCACACUGGGACUGAGACACGGCCCAGACUCCUACGGGAGGCAGCAGUGGGGAAUAUUGGACAAUGGGCGCAAGCCUAGUCCAGCCAUGCCGGGUGAGUGAUGAAGGCCUUAGGGUUGUAAAGCUCUUUUAUCCGGGACGAUAAUGACGGUACCGGAGGAAUAAGCCCCGGCUAACUUCGUG